Molecule: microRNA precursor, 103 nt
Filed under: Equus caballus (horse)
Lineage: Eukaryota; Metazoa; Chordata; Mammalia; Perissodactyla; Equidae
Description: microRNA eca-mir-8942 precursor
Source: miRBase by way of RNAcentral
CUGAAAAGUUCUCCUGCUCCGGGUCUCAGGACUCUGCUGGCCAGGCCAAGGCGGGAGUCUAGGCUUUAGGAGAGCUGACCGCGGGGUUGGAGCUCCAGGAUUC